GUUAGUGGCAGACGGGUGAGUAUGCGUAGGAAUCUACCUAGUAGUAUGGAAUAGCCAUUAGAAAUGAUGGGUAAUACUGUAUAAUCCCUGCGGGGGAAAGAUUUAUCGCUAUUAGAUGAGCCUACGUUAGAUUAGCUAGUUGGUAAGGUAAUGGCUUACCAAGGCUAUGAUCUAUAGCUGGUCUGAGAGGACGAUCAGCCACACUGGAACUGAGAUACGGUCCAGACUCCUACGGGAGGCAGCAGUGGGGAAUAUUGGACAAUGGGCGAAAGCCUGAUCCAGCUAUGCCGCGUGAGUGAAGAAGGCCUUCGGGUUGUAAAACUCUUUCAAUAGGGAAGAUAAUGACGGUACCUAUA
This 356-nucleotide ribosomal RNA is filed under the name uncultured Ehrlichia sp. RNAcentral describes it as "bacterial SSU rRNA". It matches the Rfam family "Bacterial small subunit ribosomal RNA", at positions 91 to 483 of the family's 1533-position model. Lineage: Bacteria; Pseudomonadati; Pseudomonadota; Alphaproteobacteria; Rickettsiales; Anaplasmataceae. The record is from RNAcentral.